This 210-nucleotide long non-coding RNA is filed under the name Pan troglodytes (chimpanzee). RNAcentral's name for it is "long non-coding RNA NONPTRT016162". Lineage: Eukaryota; Metazoa; Chordata; Mammalia; Primates; Hominidae. The record is from RNAcentral.
UUACAAUUUUAAGAUGAGAAAUGAAACCACCAUUGGGAAUUAUGGACUCUUUCAUUUAAGAAAUGUGAAGUGAUUCAUCGUGGCCACCAAGCCUUUUGCUGGUCUCACUGCUGAGCCAGGCCUAUGCUAUUUAGAUAUUGUAAGAGUGAUUUGAAAUUAUCUUGAUCUAGUACAAAAUGGAAACUUUUGACAAGACCUAAAUAUUUAUAA